RNAcentral lists this transfer RNA (85 nucleotides) under Felis catus (domestic cat). It matches the Rfam family "tRNA". From Rfam's summary of the family: Transfer RNA (tRNA) molecules are approximately 80 nucleotides in length. Their secondary structure includes four short double-helical elements and three loops (D, anti-codon, and T loops). Further hydrogen bonds mediate the characteristic L-shaped molecular structure. tRNAs have two regions of fundamental functional importance: the anti-codon, which is responsible for specific mRNA codon recognition, and the 3' end, to which the tRNAs corresponding amino acid is attached (by aminoacyl-tRNA synthetases). tRNAs cope with the degeneracy of the genetic code in two manners: having more than one tRNA (with a specific anti-codon) for a particular amino acid; and 'wobble' base-pairing, i.e. permitting non-standard base-pairing at the 3rd anti-codon position. Lineage: Eukaryota; Metazoa; Chordata; Mammalia; Carnivora; Felidae. The record is from Rfam by way of RNAcentral.
GCCUGGAUGGCUCAGUUGGCUGAGCGUCUGACUUCGGCUCAUAUCAAGAUCUUGUGGUUUGUGGGUUCGAGCCCCGCGUUGGGCU